GCCACAGCUCAGUGGCAGAGCAUCUGCUUUGCAUGCCAAAGGUCCCAGGUUCAAUCCCCAGCAUCUCCA
Non-coding RNA from Podarcis lilfordi (Lilford's wall lizard), 69 nucleotides. The record is from the annotation of a GenBank genome assembly. Lineage: Eukaryota; Metazoa; Chordata; Lepidosauria; Squamata; Lacertidae.